This 72-nucleotide transfer RNA is filed under the name Ornithorhynchus anatinus (platypus). It matches the Rfam family "tRNA". Rfam says of the family: Transfer RNA (tRNA) molecules are approximately 80 nucleotides in length. Their secondary structure includes four short double-helical elements and three loops (D, anti-codon, and T loops). Lineage: Eukaryota; Metazoa; Chordata; Mammalia; Monotremata; Ornithorhynchidae. The record is from Rfam by way of RNAcentral.
AGCAGUGUAGCCCAGUGAACAGAGCACGGGCCUGGAAGUCAGAAGACCUGGGUUCUAAUCCCAGCACUGCCC